GAUGAAGAACGCAGCGAAAUGCGAUAAGUAAUGCGAAUUGCAGAAUUCAGUGAAUCAUCGAAUCUUUGAACGCACAUUGCGCCCCUUGGUAUUCCGAGGGGCAUGCCUGUUCGAGCGUCAUUACACCACUCAAGCUAUGCUUGGUAUUGGGCGUCGUCCUUAGUUGGGCGCGCCUUAAAGACCUCGGCGAGGCCACUCCGGCUUUAGGCGUAGUAGAAUUUAUUCGAACGUCUGUCAAAGGAGAGGAACUCUGCCGACUGAAACCUUUAUUUUUCUAGGUUGACCUCGGAUCAGGUAGGGAUACCCGCUGAACUUAAGCAUAUCAAUAAGCGGAGGA
RNAcentral lists this unclassified non-coding RNA (337 nucleotides) under soil metagenome. RNAcentral describes it as "partial contains 5.8S ribosomal RNA, internal transcribed spacer 2, and large subunit ribosomal RNA". The stretch from base 1 to 120 matches the Rfam family "5.8S ribosomal RNA", at positions 35 to 154 of the family's 154-position model. The record is from RNAcentral.